This is a long non-coding RNA of Mastomys coucha (southern multimammate mouse), 1241 nucleotides long. RefSeq lists it as uncharacterized. NCBI's taxonomy places the organism in Eukaryota, Metazoa, Chordata, Mammalia, Rodentia, Muridae. The transcript has 2 exons. The record is from RefSeq and is a predicted model, not a curated record.
GACUACUAGUAUUCUCUGUAAGAGUAUUUGAUUUGAAAUGAAACAUUUGGCUUAUUAUAAACCUAUUCCUUUAUCUUAAAGUCCACCCCUUUGCUUUGUUGCCCUGACAACAUGAUACUCAGUAACUAGAACAGGGAAAAUUCCCAGAGUAGAGUCAUCAGCCUCCAGAUUUUCUGAAUGAAGCCUCUUGCCAGCUCACCAAGAGAGAUGGACUCUGUUGUUCUACUAAUGACAAAGUCUGCUUCUAUAGGACUGUACUGUGCUUACAUUUGAGGUUCACAAGCAACGACCUGCUUCCUAUCCAGUUGUACUAGCCCACCUAUGCAAGCAACAAUGGAACAGAAAUAUUGUCAUGGAUGCUACCUACCUGGUUCCUGGAACCAGGUUCCUGGGAAAGAAAACUGAAGUAGCUACCUGAACUUUCUAACACGGCUUUAAUUGCUAUUUCAACUGACUUGGCUAGUGACUUCCCAAGUUGAGGGCAACGUCUUCAGGCAAGCUCUGUGAUGACUCUGAAACCUGGAGAGACUGUCUCACCAGCCUGACCUUGCUCCAGCUCAGCCCUGUACUGUCUAAGGCUGAGACUCAUUCAUAUAAGGAGACAAUUUAGUGCUGGAAGAAGCACUUGGCAGUAAGGGAACAAUCUAGGAAGAGACGCUCACAAUGUUCACUUCCUCUUUUUAAUAUGCUAUGAGUUAAAGUCCUCAGAACACAAUUGAACAAAUAUUAGCAUGACAGUUUCAGUGGAGGAAGGUGAUGUCUUCCAGGGCAUCCUGAUCUUUGCCUAUGAAAACCCUCAAAUCCCUUAAAUGCAACCUUAGCUAUUUAGAUCCCUAUGUCUUGACAUUUAGAUGACUAAAGCCAUACUGUAGAACUAGGAUAAAUGUUAACAAGCUGCUUUUAGAGAUUGUUCUAAAAAAUAGUCAUAGGAAGAGAACCAGACUCGAACUUGAACAGCUCAGAUUUAAUUCUCAUAUCUGUCUCAUCAACUGUAGUUACCAGGGAGGCCUAUAUAUACUUGAUGAGACUUGAUUUACCCCAUUAUCAAAUGGAUAUGAGGCUAUUGCAAAAACUGAGAUUCUGAAGGAAGCAUGGAGACUUGGAAUAGGUAGAUUUUCCAAGAGCCUCAAAUUCAUGUGUCAAAUGUGAACCAUUUCCAGAGCCAUGUGGCUGAAGUGACUUUCUCUAUUUGCUUUGCAAUGUCUGCCUCUGCAACAUGUGAUAAACUUUGUUGCUCACAA